Molecule: ribosomal RNA, 187 nt
Filed under: uncultured bacterium
Lineage: Bacteria
Description: partial 16S ribosomal RNA
Rfam family: Bacterial small subunit ribosomal RNA
Source: RNAcentral
GCCUGCAUGAAGUCGGAGUUGCUAGUAAUCGCAGAUCAGAAUGCUGCGGUGAAUGCGUUCCCGGGUCUUGUACACACCGCCCGUCACACCAUGAGAGUCGGGAACACCCGAAGUCCGUAGUCUAACCGCAAGGGGGGCGCGGCCGAAGGUGGGUCCGGUAAUUGGGGUGAAGUCGUAACAAGGUAUC